This 653-nucleotide long non-coding RNA is filed under the name Homo sapiens (human). RNAcentral describes it as "HSALNT0274065". The record is from RNAcentral. Lineage: Eukaryota; Metazoa; Chordata; Mammalia; Primates; Hominidae.
GGGGAACCUCGAGGUUGGGUUUGGAGAGUGAGGAGGCGCAGAAACCAGAGGUCUGAGCCACAGCUCCCCAGGAUCCCCGGCAGGGACGAAGGCCACGCCAGACACACCUGCGUGCGUCCUGGAAGUUGAUGGUGAAAAGUGAAACGCUGUGACGUCUGGUUACCACAUGCCGCCUCGUUCUUCCCCCACCCCCAUCCUGCCUCCCAUUAAAGGCAAAGAUUUCCCAGCGGAAGGCUUUGGAAGUUUCCUCCUCCCUGUGUUAAUUCCCAUCGAGGCAGUUUUCUCGGAUGAGCAGAUCAUCCCACGCUGCCAUACUGCCCUUGAAUAAGUCAUUUCUGUAGCUGAGAUUUGCUCCCCCGGCAUUUAGAUGCAUGGAGGAUAGUUGCUUCCUGGCAGCCUCCAAGAAAUGCUGAGGAGGCCCUGGGCUCAGGAGAGGGUUCCUGAAGAUAUUACCUUAUAGGCGUAUCCUCACAUGUGCUUUCUUCAGUCCCCAUCUGAACUGACCCAGGUCUUUGGAGUUAUUUCCUGAGUUAGGCAGCAGAGAGGAGAAAGAGGGCACAUCCAGCCUGUGAGCUGGGUUCUGUGUGGGAAUAUUUCUAUCACCCAGAGAGUAGUUCCUCCCUACUCCAGAGAGUGACCUCUCCAUGGCUGAC